Molecule: long non-coding RNA, 559 nt
Organism: Rhinolophus ferrumequinum (greater horseshoe bat)
Lineage: Eukaryota; Metazoa; Chordata; Mammalia; Chiroptera; Rhinolophidae
Exons: 4
Source: RefSeq, a predicted model, not a curated record
UUUGGGGAAGGUUUGCAAUUAGGGGAGUAACUGGUGCAACAUCUUAAACUACCUCUUUCCUCUUGAGGUCUGUGACUCCACACCCCGCGGCUCUUCCUUCUCCUGGUCACUCCUCUUCAGUGUCCUUGGCUGCUCCUCCUCCAUCGACCCCACCUCUUCUAAGUGAGAAUUAGAAAACUCCUGAGGGGUUCUUCAACUAAGUAAACUGGGAGUUAUCAGGACUCAUUCUGGACCCUGUCUUCUCUCUACACUCUGCAGAGGCAUAUGGGAUGACUGCACUUCCUUAUACCCUUCAAGUGGAGAUAGGACACUGUGACUUGCUUUGGAUAAUGAAAUAGCUUCCCAGCCUGUAUCCCAGAGAAGGCAAGCAAGCAGACUAUAGGUGUGGCACAAAACCUUGAUCCGCUGGUAACCAGGCUGCUCCUGGGCCCUGCUACCGCUUGGAUGGUAGCUGGAGCUGAGACAAGGUGCCCAUCGAGAGGCACAGGAAGAAUGCGGCCCAGCAGCUCAGGAAGCUCAGCCUCAAGGUCUGGCUGGUUGGGGAAGUUUGGAGCGGGGG